AGCGAACGCUGGCGGCAGGCUUAACACAUGCAAGUCGAGCGGGCAUCUUCGGAUGUCAGCGGCAGACGGGUGAGUAACACGUGGGAACGUACCCUUCGGUUCGGAACAACUCUGGGAAACUGGAGCUAAUACCGGAUACGCCCUUAUGGGGAAAGGUUUACUGCCGAAGGAUCGGCCCGCGUCUGAUUAGCUGGUUGGUGGGGUAACGGCCUACCAAGGCGACGAUCAGUAGCUGGUCUGAGAGGAUGAUCAGCCACACUGGGACUGAGACACGGCCCAGACUCCUACGGGAGGCAGCAGUGGGGAAUAUUGGACAAUGGGCGCAAGCCUGAUCCAGCCAUGCCGCGUGAGUGAUGAAGGCCUUAGGGUUGUAAAGCUCUUUUGUCCGGGACGAUAAUGACGGUACCGGAAGAAUAAGCCCCGGCUAACUUCGUG
RNAcentral lists this ribosomal RNA (435 nucleotides) under uncultured bacterium. RNAcentral's name for it is "partial 16S ribosomal RNA". It matches the Rfam family "Bacterial small subunit ribosomal RNA", at positions 29 to 507 of the family's 1533-position model. The record is from RNAcentral.